GUUCCUACGGGACGCAGCAGUGAGGAAUAUUGGUCAAUGGGCGCGAGCCUGAACCAGCCAAGUAGCGUGAAGGAUGACUGCCCUACGGGUUGUAAACUUCUUUUAUAAAGGAAUAAAGUGAGGCACGUGUGCCUUUUUGUAUGUACUUUAUGAAUAAGGAUCGGCUAACUCCGUGCCAGCAGCCGCGGUAAUACGGAGGAUCCGAGCGUUAUCCGGAUUUAUUGGGUUUAAAGGGUGCGCAGGCGGGCCUUUAAGCCGGCGGUGGAAUCGCGGGGCUCAAACCCGCCGAACC
Molecule: ribosomal RNA, 292 nt
Filed under: uncultured bacterium
Lineage: Bacteria
Description: partial 16S ribosomal RNA
Rfam family: Bacterial small subunit ribosomal RNA
Source: RNAcentral